AAACUGCGAUAAGUAGUGUGAAUUGCAUUUAGUGAAUCAUCGAAUCUUUGAACGCAGCCUGCACUCACUGGUAUUCCGGUGAGUACGCCUGUUUCAGUAUCAUUGAAAACACACAAUCAAAACAUUUUCUUUGGUUUGAUUGGCUUUGGGUCUAUCAAAAAGUUUGGCUUGUUUCUUACAAGCCAAGCGGCCUGAAAUAUAUUGUCUGGCUAAUUGCAUCGUUGAUGAUCGCUAUUAGACUUUGGCUUUUUUAAAUGAACUGGAGGUUGAUUAACCAGUUUUAGCUUUAGUCAAAUGGUCAUUGUAAAAAAAAUCUCGAUCUUGGCUAGGUGUUUAUAGCCGAAAAUUUUUUUUUGGCUAUAACCGAAACCAAUAUAAUCACAUUUAGUUAUCGAUCUGAAAUCAGGUGGGACUACCCGCUGAACUUAAGC
RNAcentral lists this unclassified non-coding RNA (431 nucleotides) under plant metagenome. RNAcentral's name for it is "partial contains 5.8S ribosomal RNA, internal transcribed spacer 2, and large subunit ribosomal RNA". The stretch from base 1 to 102 matches the Rfam family "5.8S ribosomal RNA", at positions 50 to 154 of the family's 154-position model. The record is from RNAcentral.